This 72-nucleotide transfer RNA is filed under the name Acanthaster brevispinus. RNAcentral's name for it is "tRNA-Leu". It matches the Rfam family "tRNA". From Rfam's summary of the family: Transfer RNA (tRNA) molecules are approximately 80 nucleotides in length. Their secondary structure includes four short double-helical elements and three loops (D, anti-codon, and T loops). The record is from RNAcentral. Lineage: Eukaryota; Metazoa; Echinodermata; Asteroidea; Valvatida; Acanthasteridae.
GCUGAAGUAGCAAAGUGGUAAUGCAAGAAGUCUAAGGUUUCUCUAUGGAAGGUUCGAGUCCUUUCUUUAGCU